GAUGAACGCUGGCGGCGUGCCUAAUACAUGCAAGUCGAGCGAACGGACGAGAAGCUUGCUUCUCUGAUGUUAGCGGCGGACGGGUGAGUAACACGUGGAUAACCUACCUAUAAGACUGGGAUAACUUCGGGAAACCGGAGCUAAUACCGGAUAAUAUUUUGAACCGCAUGGUUCAAAAGUGAAAGACGGUCUUGCUGUCACUUAUAGAUGGAUCCGCGCUGCAUUAGCUAGUUGGUAAGGUAACGGCUUACCAAGGCAACGAUGCAUAGCCGACCUGAGAGGGUGAUCGGCCACACUGGAACUGAGACACGGUCCAGACUCCUACGGGAGGCAGCAGUAGGGAAUCUUCCGCAAUGGGCGAAAGCCUGACGGAGCAACGCCGCGUGAGUGAUGAAGGUCUUCGGAUCGUAAAACUCUGUUAUUAGGGAAGAACAUAUGUGUAAGUAACUGUGCACAUCUUGACGGUACCUAAUCAGAAAGCCACGGCUAACUACGUGCCAGCAGCCGCGGUAAUACGUAGGUGGCAAGCGUUAUCCGGAAUUAUUGGGCGUAAAGCGCGCGUAGGCGGUUUUUUAAGUCUGAUGUGAAAGCCCACGGCUCAACCGUGGAGGGUCAUUGGAAACUGGAAAACUUGAGUGCAGAAGAGGAAAGUGGAAUUCCAUGUGUAGCGGUGAAAUGCGCAGAGAUAUGGAGGAACACCAGUGGCGAAGGCGACUUUCUGGUCUGUAACUGACGCUGAUGUGCGAAAGCGUGGGGAUCAAAUAGGAUUAGAUACCCUGGUAGUCCACGCCGUAAACGAUGAGUGCUAAGUGUUAGGGGGUUUCCGCCCCUUAGUGCUGCAGCUAACGCAUUAAGCACUCCGCCUGGGGAGUACGACCGCAAGGUUGAAACUCAAAGGAAUUGACGGGGACCCGCACAAGCGGUGGAGCAUGUGGUUUAAUUCGAAGCAACGCGAAGAACCUUACCAAAUCUUGACAUCCUUUGACAACUCUAGAGAUAGUGCCUUCCCCUUCGGGGGACAAAGUGACAGGUGGUGCAUGGUUGUCGUCAGCUCGUGUCGUAAGAUGUUGGGUUAAGUCCCGCAACGAGCGCAACCCUUAAGCUUAGUUGCCAUCAUUAAGUUGGGCACUCUAAGUUGACUGCCGGUGACAAACCGGAGGAAGGUGGGGAUGACGUCAAAUCAUCAUGCCCCUUAUGAUUUGGGCUACACACGUGCUACAAUGGACAAUACAAAGGGCAGCGAAACCGCGAGGUCAAGCAAAUCCCAUAAAGUUGUUCUCAGUUCGGAUUGUAGUCUGCAACUCGACUACAUGAAGCUGGAAACGCUAGUAAUCGUAGAUCAGCAUGCUACGGUGAAUACGUUCCCGGGUCU
This 1372-nucleotide ribosomal RNA is filed under the name uncultured bacterium. RNAcentral describes it as "bacterial SSU rRNA". It matches the Rfam family "Bacterial small subunit ribosomal RNA", at positions 28 to 1381 of the family's 1533-position model. The record is from RNAcentral.